GACGUAGGGCGCGAGCGUUGUCCGGAUUUAUUGGGCGUAAAGAGCUCGUAGGCGGCUUGUCGCGUCGUCCGUGAAAACUUGGGGCUCAACCCCAAGCUUGCGGUCGAUACGGGCAGGCGUAGAGUUCGGUAGGGGAGACUGGAAUUCCUGGUGUAGCGGUGAAAUGCGCAGAUAUCAGGAGGAACACCGGUGGCGAAGGCGGGUCUCUGGGCCGAUACUGACGCUGAGGAGCGAAAGCGUGGGGAGCGAACAGG
RNAcentral lists this ribosomal RNA (254 nucleotides) under uncultured bacterium. Its description in RNAcentral is "partial 16S ribosomal RNA". It matches the Rfam family "Bacterial small subunit ribosomal RNA", at positions 524 to 776 of the family's 1533-position model. The record is from RNAcentral.